ACCCUCCAGGUUCAUAAUCCAUCAAAUGUAGACGCUGGUUUGAGUGGCUGUAAAGGAGGAAAAGUAAAACUAGAACAGACAUGGAUUCCUUUUUGCCAUACACGCUGAUUUCAACUACAG
RNAcentral lists this small nucleolar RNA (120 nucleotides) under Echinops telfairi (small Madagascar hedgehog). RNAcentral's name for it is "Small nucleolar RNA SNORA61 (ENSETEG00000026691.1)". The record is from RNAcentral. Lineage: Eukaryota; Metazoa; Chordata; Mammalia; Afrosoricida; Tenrecidae.